GGGUUGUGAGGUUAAGCGACUAAGCGUACACGGUGGAUGCCCUGGCAGUCAGAGGCGAUGAAGGACGUGCUAAUCUGCGAAAAGCGUCGGUAAGGUGAUAUGAACCGUUACAGCCGGCGAUGUCCGAAUGGGGAAACCCAGUGCAAUUCGUUGCACUAUCGUUAACUGAAUACAUAGGUUAACGAGGCGAACCGGGGGAACUGAAACAUCUAAGUACCCCGAGGAAAAGAAAUCAACCGAGAUUCCCCCAGUAGCGGCGAGCGAACGGGGAGCAGCCCGGAGUCUGAAUCAGCUUGUGUGUUAGUGGAAGCGUCUGGAAAGUCGCAGGGUACAGGGUGAUACUCCCGUACACUAAAACACACAGGUUGUGAACUCGAAGAGUAGGGCGGGACACGUGGUAUCCUGUCUGAAUAUGGGGGGACCAUCCUCCAAGGCUAAAUACUCCUGACUGACCGAUAGUGAACCAGUACCGUGAGGGAAAGGCGAAAAGAACCCCGGCGAGGGGAGUGAAAAAGAACCUGAAACCGUGUACGUACAAGCAGUAGGAGCCCACUUGUUGGGUGACUGCGUACCUUUUGUAUAAUGGGUCAGCGACUUAUAUUCUGUAGCAAGGUUAACCGUAUAGGGGAGCCGCAGGGAAACCGAGUCUUAACUGGGCGUUAAGUUGCAGGGUAUAGACCCGAAACCCGGUGAUCUAGCCAUGGGCAGGUUGAAGGUUGGGUAACACUAACUGGAGGACCGAACCGACUAAUGUUGAAAAAUUAGCGGAUGACUUGUGGCUGGGGGUGAAAGGCCAAUCAAACCGGGAGAUAGCUGGUUCUCCCCGAAAGCUAUUUAGGUAGCGCCUCGUGAAUUCAUCUUCGGGGGUAGAGCACUGUUUCGGCUAGGGGGUCAUCCCGACUUACCAACCCGAUGCAAACUACGAAUACCGAAGAAUGUUAUCACGGGAGACACACGGCGGGUGCUAACGUCCGUCGUGAAGAGGGAAACAACCCAGACCGCCAGCUAAGGUCCCAAAGUCAUGGUUAAGUGGGAAACGAUGUGGGAAGGCCCAGACAGCCAGGAUGUUGGCUUAGAAGCAGCCAUCAUUUAAAGAAAGCGUAAUAGCUCACUGGUCGAGUCGGCCUGCGCGGAAGAUGUAACGGGGCUAAACCAUGCACCGAAGCUGCGGCAGCGACACUAUGUGUUGUUGGGUAGGGGAGCGUUCUGUAAGCCGUUGAAGGUGGCCUGUGAGGGUUGCUGGAGGUAUCAGAAGUGCGAAUGCUGACAUAAGUAACGAUAAUGCGGGUGAAAAACCCGCACGCCGGAAGACCAAGGGUUCCUGUCCAACGUUAAUCGGGGCAGGGUGAGUCGACCCCUAAGGCGAGGCCGAAAGGCGUAGUCGAUGGGAAACAGGUUAAUAUUCCUGUACUCGGUGUUACUGCGAAGGGGGGACGGAGAAGGCUAUGUUGGCCGGGCGACGGUUGUCCCGGUUUAAGCAUGUAGGCGGAUGUUCCAGGUAAAUCCGGAACGUCACUAACGCUGAGGUGUGAUGACGAGGCACUACGGUGCUGAAGUGACAAAUGCCCUGCUUCCAGGAAAAGCCUCUAAGCAUCAGGUAACAUCAAAUCGUACCCCAAACCGACACAGGUGGUCAGGUAGAGAAUACCAAGGCGCUUGAGAGAACUCGGGUGAAGGAACUAGGCAAAAUGGUGCCGUAACUUCGGGAGAAGGCACGCUGAUGGUAGGUGAAGCGACUUGCUCGUGGAGCUGAAAUCAGUCGAAGAUACCAGCUGGCUGCAACUGUUUAUUAAAAACACAGCACUGUGCAAACACGAAAGUGGACGUAUACGGUGUGACGCCUGCCCGGUGCCGGAAGGUUAAUUGAUGGGGUUAUCCGUAAGGAGAAGCUCUUGAUCGAAGCCCCGGUAAACGGCGGCCGUAACUAUAACGGUCCUAAGGUAGCGAAAUUCCUUGUCGGGUAAGUUCCGACCUGCACGAAUGGCGUAAUGAUGGCCAGGCUGUCUCCACCCGAGACUCAGUGAAAUUGAACUCGCUGUGAAGAUGCAGUGUACCCGCGGCAAGACGGAAAGACCCCGUGAACCUUUACUAUAGCUUGACACUGAACACUGGUCCUUGAUGUGUAGGAUAGGUGGGAGGCUUUGAAGUGUGGACGCCAGUCUGCAUGGAGCCAUCCUUGAAAUACCACCCUUUAAUGGCUGGUGUUCUAACGUGGGCCCCUAAUCGGGGUUGCGGACAGUGUCUGGUGGGUAGUUUGACUGGGGCGGUCUCCUCCUAAAGAGUAACGGAGGAGCACGAAGGUCAGCUAAUCCUGGUCGGACAUCAGGAGGUUAGUGCAAUGGCAUAAGCUGGCUUGACUGCGAGCGUGACGGCGCGAGCAGGUGCGAAAGCAGGUCAUAGUGAUCCGGUGGUUCUGAAUGGAAGGGCCAUCGCUCAACGGAUAAAAGGUACUCCGGGGAUAACAGGCUGAUACCGCCCAAGAGUUCAUAUCGACGGCGGUGUUUGGCACCUCGAUGUCGGCUCAUCACAUCCUGGGGCUGAAGUAGGUCCCAAGGGUAUGGCUGUUCGCCAUUUAAAGUGGUACGCGAGCUGGGUUUAGAACGUCGUGAGACAGUUCGGUCCCUAUCUGCCGUGGGCGCUGGAGAAUUGAGGGGGGCUGCUCCUAGUACGAGAGGACCGGAGUGGACGCAUCACUGGUGUUCGGGUUGUCAUGCCAAUGGCAUUGCCCGGUAGCUAAAUGCGGAAGAGAUAAGUGCUGAAAGCAUCUAAGCACGAAACUUGCCCCGAGAUGAGUUCUCCCUGACCCUUUAAGGGUCCUGAAGGAACGUUGAAGACGACGACGUUGAUAGGCCGGGUGUGUAAGCGCAGCGAUGCGUUGAGCUAACCGGUACUAAUGAACCGUGAGGCUUAACCUUACAACGCCGAAG
This 2927-nucleotide ribosomal RNA is filed under the name Klebsiella michiganensis. RNAcentral's name for it is "23S ribosomal RNA". It matches the Rfam family "Bacterial large subunit ribosomal RNA". The record is from RNAcentral. Lineage: Bacteria; Pseudomonadati; Pseudomonadota; Gammaproteobacteria; Enterobacterales; Enterobacteriaceae.